Non-coding RNA from Leptonychotes weddellii (Weddell seal), 387 nucleotides. Lineage: Eukaryota; Metazoa; Chordata; Mammalia; Carnivora; Phocidae. The record is from RefSeq and is a predicted model, not a curated record.
CAAGAGGCCUCUCCAGGGAGGCAGGAGCAAACCUCUGAGCUGGGGUGCUCAAGGGGCAGUUUAUGACGUCUUCCUCAACGCAGUCCCUCCUCAUUGCAGGAAUGGGCUCCCUUUGGUCACGAAAUCGGAGCAGCCUCCAGUGUCUCUUUGGGUGAUAUGAAGACGUACACCCAGGUGGCAAGUCACAUUGAAAUUCAUCCCACAUUGACCCACGUGGAAAACGGCCACCCUGCCAUAGCAGAGCCAGAGGACACCUAGAGCUCCCCUCCACCCCCCGCCAACCCUUGCAAUACGCAAAUGAGGAAACUGAGGCCCAAGCAAAGCAACUUGAUCAAGAUCUCGUGGCUGGGUAAUAGUAGAGCUGGAAUAAAAAUGUCUAGUGCGGUU